Equus quagga is the source of this 1416-nucleotide long non-coding RNA. RefSeq lists it as uncharacterized. The transcript has 2 exons. The record is from RefSeq and is a predicted model, not a curated record. Lineage: Eukaryota; Metazoa; Chordata; Mammalia; Perissodactyla; Equidae.
UGCGCCAUCCGCGGCGCGCGGGGCCGGCACCUUUAAGGAGCAGCGGUGUUGCGUCAUUUCUCCGCGACGCCCUCGCUCCCUCCCCUCGCCCGCCGUCGCCGGAGGCGGCCAAUCAGACGCCUCGUUCCUCUGCCAACCGGGCGGUCCCCGCCCAAGUACAGCGGGCCGACGACCACAGCUGGGAGUGAUCGCUGCAGCGGUGGAGGGGUGUGUGGGGAGGCUAGGACUCAGUGGUUAAGCCCGUGGCCUCUAGAGCCCCGAGUCUCGGCUCUUCCGUUCACUAGCUGUGUGACCAUGGAGAGAGAGAGAAGCGGAAGGUAGAAAGGCCAAAUGCUCAGAUGCGACCAUGCUCCCAACCCAGUGAAGAUCAAGGUCGUGACAGGAAGCUAUUCCACCUCACCUUGGCCUGCAGGGCAAGCCCCAUGCUGUCUGGGGUUUCCCAGGAGGUUGCUAAGGGCAAAUGGGAAUGUGGAAUGUAGCCACCAUUUUGUACAAACAUUAGAUGCUCAAUAAACUUCUAAAGAGUUAGCAAUUUUAUGAGGACCAAGGACCAGAAGAACGUGGUCAGCAUUCCAGAUAAGGCAGGAUGGGGUUUUCGUGGGCUUGGUUCUUUUGCUUCAGCCAACUCAAAGGCUCGAGUAAAGUCUUGGAUCUUUACCCUGAACCAGCCAAGGCUUUGGAGUCACUGGCAGGAAUCAAGAGUGUGUAACUCUGGCAGAGCCACUAGCAGAAGAAUAGAUGGGGAGAAGCAUGUUACUAGUGGAAGGUCCAGACAUUCCAGUUCCUUCUUCAAACGCAGCUCACUAUUUAUGGGUGAAAUGGGAAAAAGGUUUAGGAUUGGCUUCAAAACAAAACGAAGGGAUAGAGGGAAGCGGGUGGGGAUAUAGAUGCAUCAAAAGUGGCUCUGGGUUACUAACUGUCGAAGCCGGGUUGUGCGCACAUGGAGAUUCGCUGUGCUAGUCUCUAUAUUUUUGUGUAUGGUGUAAAAUGUCAUAGUAAGUGAAAAACAAACAAGCAGCUCGAGCUUAUCUUCUCCACCAUACCUGCCGAGUAUCCCUGGGAGCGGUUGACACGCCUUUCUCCAAGUUGUUGCUGUACUUUGAACAUUGCUCUGGCAGGAAACUUAUUAUAAUGGGUUUAUUUAUCCAUGUCACCUGCCAGCUUGUAUAUUUUAGUGUGUCUCAAUUUCCAGGGGCCAAGCACAGUGCCUGGCCCUAGUAAUGCUCAGUGAAUGUUGGAUGGAGGGAUUAAAAAAAAUACCAGGCACUUACUAAACGUUUUCUGAAUUGUAUUCUCUGUUUUUAGUUUGUGUUUGUCUUCUUUCUUAACUGGGUUGUUGUUGGGGUCAAAAAUGAUGUAUACGAUAAACAGAGUUCUCUACACAAUGUAAAUAUUUGAUAAAUUCUUGUUGAUUAA